AAAGGCUUCAGCCUUUCAUUUUACCCGAGCCCCUCUCUCUCUCUCCUCAGAAACUCUCUCUCUCUCUCUCUCUCUCUCUCUCUCUCUCUCUCUCUCUGCGUGUUACUGUUGCCGACGACGCAGGAGUACUUUCCGGCCACCAUUUUUAGCCACGCGCCGGACCGUUGGAUUCAGAGGCCUCCGAACUAUCGACCCACGCGGGAAUCUAGAGCUCACUCGCCGAUUAAACGCCUCAACCACUCGAUUUAAGUUCGGCCACCCCGCGACUUCAAAGUUGCGAUUCGGCCACCUCGGGCAUCCGUUUGCCGAUCCGUCACCACCAUCGUGCUCCUCGUGUUGUGGGCUUCAAAACCCAAUAACUUGUUCCUACAUCUACCAUAGUUGGGUGGUGGGCCCACCACGAGCCACCGCGAUCCACCGUAGACCGACGGUCGAAACUUAGUGUUCGAGGUUCCGAAGUACGUUUUGAGUCUCAGAAAAUCAUCGUUUGACUUAUUGUGGAACCCGAUCAUUUUGGAUUUGUAUGGAUUUGAUUGAUUGACUCUUGGUGAGCCGUUUUAAAAUAAGCUAAGGACCUAAGGUGUGGCUUUAGCUGUUGAGCAACUUGUGGAGCACGGACUCAGUAGCAAUGCAAUAAUAGUUUAGAGUUUUCAUAUGGCUGCCUUAAAUUUAAAGUAUUCAUACGUGUAAUAAUUUCUUCUAAUAAGUUUAUAUAAAAGUUUAAAUUUUUCUGUA
Humulus lupulus (European hop) is the source of this 735-nucleotide long non-coding RNA. RefSeq lists it as uncharacterized. Lineage: Eukaryota; Viridiplantae; Streptophyta; Magnoliopsida; Rosales; Cannabaceae. The transcript has 3 exons. The record is from RefSeq and is a predicted model, not a curated record.